GUAGUCGAUGGGAAACAGGUUAAUAUUCCUGUACUUGGUGUUACUGCGAAGGGGGGACGGAGAAGGCUAUGUUGGCCGGGCGACGGUUGUCCCGGUUUAAGCGUGUAGGCUGGUUUUCCAGGCAAAUCCGGAAAAUCAAGGCUGAGGCGUGAUGACGAGGCACUACGGUGCUGAAGCGACAAAUGCCCUGCUUCCAGGAAAAGCCUCUAAGCAUCAGGUAACAUCAAAUCGUACCCCAAACCGACACAGGUGGUCAGGUAGAGAAUACCAAGGCGCUUGAGAGAACUCGGGUGAAGGAACUAGGCAAAAUGGUGCCGUAACUUCGGGAGAAGGCACGCUGAUAUGUAGGUGAAGCGACUUGCUCGUGGAGCUGAAAUCAGUCGAAGAUACCAGCUGGCUGCAACUGUUUAUUAAAAACACAGCACUGUGCAAACACGAAAGUGGACGUAUACGGUGUGACGCCUGCCCGGUGCCGGAAGGUUAAUUGAUGGGGUUAGCGGUAACGCGAAGCUCUUGAUCGAAGCCCCGGUAAACGGCGGCCGUAACUAUAACGGUCCUAAGGUAGCGAAAUUCCUUGUCGGGUAAGUUCCGACCUGCACGAAUGGCGUAAUGAUGGCCAGGCUGUCUCCACCCGAGACUCAGUGAAAUUGAACUCGCUGUGAAGAUGCAGUGUACCCGCGGCAAGACGGAAAGACCCCGUGAACCUUUACUAUAGCUUGACACUGAACAUUGAGCCUUGAUGUGUAGGAUAGGUGGGAGGCUUUGAAGUGUGGACGCCAGUCUGCAUGGAGCCGACCUUGAAAUACCACCCUUUAAUGUUUGAUGUUCUAACGUGGGCCCCUUACCGGGGUUGCGGACAGUGUCUGGUGGGUAGUUUGACUGGGGCGGUCUCCUCCUAAAGAGUAACGGAGGAGCACGAAGGUUGGCUAAUCCUGGUCGGACAUCAGGAGGUUAGUGCAAUGGCAUAAGCCAGCUUGACUGCGAGCGUGACGGCGCGAGCAGGUGCGAAAGCAGGUCAUAGUGAUCCGGUGGUUCUGAAUGGAAGGGCCAUCGCUCAACGGAUAAAAGGUACUCCGGGGAUAACAGGCUGAUACCGCCCAAGAGUUCAUAUCGACGGCGGUGUUUGGCACCUCGAUGUCGGCUCAUCACAUCCUGGGGCUGAAGUAGGUCCCAAGGGUAUGGCUGUUCGCCAUUUAAAGUGGUACGCGAGCUGGGUUUAGAACGUCGUGAGACAGUUCGGUCCCUAUCUGCCGUGGGCGCUGGAGAACUGAGGGGGGCUGCUCCUAGUACGAGAGGACCGGAGUGGACGCAUCACUGGUGUUCGGGUUGUCAUGCCAAUGGCACUGCCCGGUAGCUAAAUGCGGAAGAGAUAAGUGCUGAAAGCAUCUAAGCACGAAACUUGCCCCGAGAUGAGUUCUCCCUGACUCCUUGAGAGUCCUGAAGGAACGUUGAAGACGACGACGUUGAUAGGCCGGGUGUGUAAGCGCAGCGAUGCGUUGAGCUAACCGGUACUAAUGAACCGUGAGGCUUAACCUUACAACGCCGAAG
RNAcentral lists this ribosomal RNA (1548 nucleotides) under Escherichia coli. RNAcentral's name for it is "partial 23S ribosomal RNA". It matches the Rfam family "Bacterial large subunit ribosomal RNA", at positions 1411 to 2925 of the family's 2925-position model. The record is from RNAcentral. Lineage: Bacteria; Pseudomonadati; Pseudomonadota; Gammaproteobacteria; Enterobacterales; Enterobacteriaceae.